ACGAACGCUGGCGGCGUGCUUAACACCUGCAAGUCGAACGGAAAGGCCCUGCUUUUGUGGGGUGCUCGAGUGGCGAACGGGUGAGUAACACGUGAGUAACCUGCCCUUGACUUUGGGAUAACUUCAGGAAACUGGGGCUAAUACCGGAUAGGAGCUCCUGCCGCAUGGUGGGGGUUGGAAAGUUUCGGCGGUUGGGGAUGGACUCGCGGCUUAUCAGCUUGUUGGUGGGGUAGUGGCUUACCAAGGCUUUGACGGGUAGCCGGCCUGAGAGGGUGACCGGCCACAUUGGGACUGAGAUACGGCCCAGACUCCUACGGGAGGCAGCAGUGGGGAAUAUUGCACAAUGGGCGGAAGCCUGAUGCAGCAACGCCGCGUGCGGGAUGACGGCCUUCGGGUUGUAAACCGCUUUCGCCUGUGACGAAGCGUGAGUGACGGUAAUGGGGAAAGAAGCACCGGCUAACUACGU
This 466-nucleotide ribosomal RNA is filed under the name uncultured bacterium. RNAcentral describes it as "partial 16S ribosomal RNA". It matches the Rfam family "Bacterial small subunit ribosomal RNA", at positions 29 to 506 of the family's 1533-position model. The record is from RNAcentral.